Amphiprion ocellaris (clown anemonefish) is the source of this 665-nucleotide long non-coding RNA. The record is from Ensembl. Lineage: Eukaryota; Metazoa; Chordata; Actinopteri; Pomacentridae.
AUUAGCACGUCUUUAGCACAACAGAAGGUUCGGUUGGCAGGAGUCUGAAGACUGGACGAGAUGGUGUCGCUUGAGCUCUAUGGAGAUUUAAUAAGAGACAUUACUGCUCAGAACCUCUCGCACGCGGACAUUUCCACGAAGUUAUCACAAUUAGGUGUGCAGCGAUGUUCUGAAAUGAGUGUCAGGAGAUUUUGUGCACAUCACAACAUUUCCAGGAGGGGACAUGUAUCCGACACACAAUUAGAAGUUGCUAUCAGCAGGGCAAUAAAUCAGACAGGGUCAACAUAUGAUGACCAGGUAUCUGUCUGCGAUGGGAGUGGUUGCUGGUGAACGCCGGAUAGGGAGGAUUUUGAGAACAACGCAUUGUCCUUAUCACGAAAUGCGCAAUCGUGGUGCACGUAACCUUAACCCCGUCCCCUACAGUGCUGCAUACAUGGGACAUAAAAUCCACAUCGACCAGAAUGAAAAAUUGGUCAUGUUCAGAGUGACGCACGUUUUCGCAGUAGAUGCGUACAGCAGUAAGGUCAUUGCCCAUGCAACCAUGCCUGUCAAGAAUAAACUCACGAUAUAUGAGGAAGUUUACAGGUCGCUGGUCGAAGCAGUUCGUAGAGUCGGGAUGCUUGGAGGAAAAUGAGGUUUGCUGGCUUUCACAUGGAGAUGCUGCU